Molecule: ribosomal RNA, 874 nt
Filed under: uncultured bacterium
Lineage: Bacteria
Description: bacterial SSU rRNA
Rfam family: Bacterial small subunit ribosomal RNA
Source: RNAcentral
AGUCGGACGGGAUUGAGGAGCUUGCUUCUCAUGAGAGUGGCGCACGGGUGCGUAACACGUAUGUAACCUACCUUGUUCAGGGGGAUAGCCUCUCGAAAGAGAGAUUAACACCGCAUAAAAUCAAUUUAUGGCAUCAUAGAAUGAUCAAAUAUUUAUAGGAACAAGAUGGGCAUGCGGAACAUUAGCUAGUUGGUAAGGUAACGGCUUACCRRGGCUACGAUGUUUAGGGGAUCUGAGAGGAUGACCCCCCACACUGGUACUGAGACACGGACCAGACUCCUACGGGAGGCAGCAGUAAGGAAUAUUGGUCAAUGGACGCAAGUCUGAACCAGCCAUGCCGCGUGCAGGAAGACGGCCCUACGGGUUGUAAACUGCUUUUGUACCGGAAUAAACCUUUUCACGUGUGAGAAGCUGAAUGUACGGUAAGAAUAAGGAUCGGCUAACUCCGUGCCAGCAGCCGCGGUAAUACGGAGGAUCCAAGCGUUAUCCGGAUUUAUUGGGUUUAAAGGGUGCGUAGGUGGCCUAUUAAGUCAGGGGUGAAAGACGGUAGCUUAACUAUCGCAGUGCCUUUGAUACUGAUGGGCUUGAAUACACUUGAGGUAGGCGGAAUGUGACAAGUAGCGGUGAAAUGCAUAGAUAUGUCACAGAACACCAAUUGCGAAGGCAGCUUACUAAAGUGUUAUUGACACUGAGGCACGAAAGCGUGGGGGAUCAAACAGGAUUAGAUACCCUGGUAGUCCACGCCCUAAACGAUGAAUACUCGAUGUUGGCGAUAUACGGUCAGCGUCUAAGCGAAAGCGUUAAGUAUUCCACCUGGGGAGUACGCCCGCAAGGGUGAAACUCAAAGGAAUUGACGGGGGCCCGCACAAGCGGA